Xiphophorus couchianus (Monterrey platyfish) is the source of this 124-nucleotide long non-coding RNA. RefSeq lists it as uncharacterized. The transcript is spliced from 2 exons. The record is from RefSeq and is a predicted model, not a curated record. NCBI's taxonomy places the organism in Eukaryota, Metazoa, Chordata, Actinopteri, Cyprinodontiformes, Poeciliidae.
CUGCGCCCCUCCUGGUUCCUCAGCCGAUCACUUCAGUUACUGAUCGCCAAGCCAGUGCUGCAGCGGACGAUCCUGCGUGCCCGGUUUAAGCUGCCUUUUAAUAAAUAUCAGAGUUUUCUGCUCA